Molecule: long non-coding RNA, 3754 nt
Organism: Callithrix jacchus (white-tufted-ear marmoset)
Lineage: Eukaryota; Metazoa; Chordata; Mammalia; Primates; Cebidae
Source: Ensembl
AUGGAGAGGCGCGCGGGGCGGGUGGAAACGCGUGCUCGCCCCGCACCUCCGCAUCCGCGAGGGGAGGCUCCUGCCCCGCGCCGCAGCCAGUCCCCGCGCGCUCGCCCCCGCGCCUCCCUCCCGCGCCCCCGCUCCUCCGGCCGCCCCCGCGCCCCCCGCCGCCUCCUCCGCCCGUGGACCGCUGCGCGCUGCUGCCCCGGGGGGCUGGCGUUUCCACCUGUCACCGCGCCGCCGCCGCCGCCGCCCAAGUUUUCAGGGAACUUACCUGGCGCGUCGUGUGCCUCAGGCUCUUCCCCAUGGCCGCCGCCCCCUCCUCCCGCCAGCUCCCCGGGCCCCCCGCGCCCCCCGCCCAGCCCUGCGGCCGCCGGGCCCGAUGAACGCCAGCAGCGGGGACUCGGGGGGUGGGAGCCCCGCGCGCAGCCGCCCGCACCCGAGCGCUCCUGCUUCCGAGCAGCCACGCAGCGUCCGUCCGGGGCAGGAGCAUUGCGGAUGCGGCGCGGGGCCGGCGCGGGGCUCCGGGCGCUCUCGGGGGUCGUGAGCGCCGCGCCCCGCGCCCCCGCACGCCCCCCACCGGCCCGCGCGCCCCGCCGGGGCCAUGCAGUCUCUCAUGUCGCCGGUGACCAAGGCGAUCCUGGUGGCCCUGUUCAGCUUCGCCAUCCUCCUCAUCCUCUACGUGAUUCUCUGGUACAUCUGCCGCGAUGUGGACUGCGACCACGGCAUCUGAGCGCCGCCGGACCCCCGGGCCGCCACGCGGGGGGCGUCCGCGGCGGGAGGGCCCUGGGGACUGAGCGGUCCCGCGGUGCCCCCAGCUUGGCGCUGGAGACCCCCGCCCCGGGCCCCGCCGCCGGCCCUGCACCGCCUCCUGGCCUUGACCUUCAGCGACGCGCCGGGGAGAGCGGCCUUCCAAACUUAAGGGGAAGGUCCCCCACGCGGCAGAGAGGGCCUCCUGGAAACUUCAGCUUCUGUGCAAGAAGACUGGAGGGAAGUGGGCAAAUUUGAGUCGUAUGGAAGCCUGAGAUGGAGCAAAGCUUAAGAACAUGUAGACAGUCCCCUAAGGCGCUGGAGAACGCUGGCGGCUGUGGAGUCAUGUGUUUGCAUGCAUGACAGGUGCCAGCCAGGGAGCUGUGGGCACAUCACCCUGGGAAGCCAGCACCCACAGGCCAGGACUGCAGCGUGCAGGGAUGGAUCUCUGAAGGUCACUGCUCCGCCCUGCUCUGAAGACUGUCCACCAGCAUGUCAACGCAGCUUCCCUGCGGGGGUUGAAGGGUGGGAAGACUGUCAGUCAGGAUUAAGGCCAUCUCCCCCGCCCAUCACUCCUUCUGCCAAGCCAUCACCAGGCAGCCGGGACUCAUGGGCAGUGUCACCUCCGGGGCCAUGCUGGCAUCUGUAACCUCCAUCCACCCUCGAGGUCCCAUCCAGCCAGCUCUGCCCACCUGCCUGGCCCAGUCUGUUGUGAAGUUUCACGCUCCUUCCUCUUGUGCAGAGUCGGAAUUCACGGGGGUCGCCAUGCCCACAGGUACCCCAGUGGAAGUGUUGACUCUUAUUACUGGCUAGACCCAUCCAGAGGACAAACCAGCUUCAGAGAAUGCCAUCGUUAAAGUAGGUGCCACUGGGGGGUUUCCGCACUUAACUCUCCGAUGCUGUCCCCGCCAUCAACCUGAUACAGACUUCGUCCGCUGCGAGAUCACUUCCUCUCAAGUGCAGACCAGAUCCCCCAGGGAAGAGACUCCUCGUCCUCAUUGUUGCCAAGUGACCCCGAAUAUUCCUCUCCUGCCUGUUGCAGAAAAGGAAAAGUCACGUUCUGGAAGAACAGCAUUGCCCUACAAAUACAAACGAGAGACUCUGCACCUAGAACAAGAGUCCCGGAAAUUUCCAGAAGCAAAUCUCUCACUUGUGACCAUCAGAUUCCACCUGAUGCCUAAUGCACCUUCUCAAAUCUCAUCACGUGUGACAGCCGCAACGCCCGGUCCAGUGGCCACACAGGACUCUCCGCUGUGUUUCUUCUGCUUCCUUUAACGCACAAGAGUGAAGAGAUGAGGACGAAGGCGGGCGGAACACUGGUCUCUCUGAAUGCCCUGGACCGACAGCAGCCCUGGUCACCCACUCACCAUCCUGUCCAUAUGCACCCUGGUGAGCAUUUUCUAGAAGCUCCCAUGGUUCCGUGUUUGUAGGUGUGAUGUGUGCCACCUCCGAGGCUGUCGUAGCUUCCACCUCCUCUGUCUGCAGAGAGGCCACAAAGACAGAGCUGAGAAAUUAUGGCUAUCCCAGAAAAUAAAAUAUUUUUUGAAACCACACAGCACAGGUGUGGGUCUUUGUGUCACUGUGAAAACAGAACCCUGCAUACCGUUAGCUUGGUAGCAUUUGGAUGACAGACAGAGUAUUCAUGGGCCCUGCAGAGAAGUACGGGUGGAAAUGCAUUUAUCACCUGAGCUUGGUACAGUCUGCUCUUGGUACAUUUUUUUAUUUUUUUGAGAUGGAGUCUCACUCUGUCCCUCAGGCUGGAGUUCAGUGGCACGAUCUCAGCUCACUGCAACCUCUGCAGCUGGGAUGACAAGCUCCUACUAUCAUGCCUGGCUGAUUUUUGUAUUUUUAGUAGCGAUGGGGUUUCCCCAUGUUGGCCAGGCUGGUCCCAAACUCAUGACCUCAGGUGAUCCGCCCACCUCAAUCUCCCAAAGUGCUGGGAUCCCAAAGUGUGAGCUGGGUGGCCUCUGGCUGCAUCUACAAAAUGAGAUGCCUCCCGUAUGGUCUCCAUAGGUGUGGGAAGGGAUGCCUUCUAUUAAAAUAACCACUAAAAAGGCAGUGUCAGAGCUCCCAUGAUGAUUUUAACACCCAAGCUCUUCUGAGGUCAUUUUCCUAAAGGAGGUCUGCUUUCUCCAUGUCUGAGAACACAGAACAUAUUCUCACCCUGUACACAGAGGAGCACCGCACUUCACACUCGCGGGUCUCAGCUUUCCCUGGGCAGGGUCUCAACGUGGGAGCCCGAGCACAAGGCAGAAAAACCUGCCAUAAGAUUCACACAAGCACCUCCACCUGCUCCAGAACAGGGUCAAAGGCUAAGAGAAAAAGUCUGAAAAACCAUAUUUUAUAAGUACAAUCUUAAUUGCACUUGUGAUUAAAAAAAACAUGGUUUUGUUUUUGUUUUUGUUUUUGUUUUUUUGAGUCAGAGUCUCACUCUGUCACCCAGGCUGGAGUGCAGUGAUGUGAUCUCUGCUCACUGCAACCUCCACCCCCCGGGUUCAGGCAAUUCUCUUGUCUCAGUCUUCAGAGUAGCUGGGACAACAGGUGUGCGCCACCACGCCCGUGUAAUUUUGUAUUUUUUUUUUUUUUUCAUUUUUUAGUAGAGAUGGGGUUACGGCAUGUUGGCCAGACUGGUCUCGAGCUCCUGACCUCAGGUAAUCUGCCCACCUCGGCCUCCCAAAGUGCUGGGAUUACAGGAGUGAGCAACCACAUCUGGUCAACUCAUGUCUUAAUACACUUAUUUUAUUAUUAACCCCAAGAAGGAAAAUGUGGCAGACACAUGGCUAAGGGUUACUUUUCAUAUCUACACGGCGAAAGACCAAGAUGGCUGGGUGAGGUGCAUACAUUCCUCUGGAAAAGGGGCCUUUAUACUCUUGGGGUGACGGGCGGCCUACAAUAAUUGUCUUUCAUCCGAGAGAACAUAGGAAGAUUGUCAAGAAGUGUGUGGGACACCGGGUGCGGUGGCUCACACUUGUAAUCCCAGCACUUUGGGAGGCCAAGGCUGGUGGAUCACAAG